ACCCCUACGGGGGGCAGCAGUCGAGAAUCAUUCGCAAUGGGCGAAAGCCUGACGAUGCGACGCCGUGUGAACGAUGAAGGCCUUCGGGUUGUAAAGUUCUUUCGCUUGGGAACAAGAGAGGUUGGAUAAUACCCAGCCAAUUUGAGCGUACCAGGUAAAGAAGCACCGGCUAACUCCGUGCCAGCAGCCGCGGUAA
RNAcentral lists this ribosomal RNA (196 nucleotides) under uncultured Chlamydiales bacterium. RNAcentral describes it as "partial 16S ribosomal RNA". It matches the Rfam family "Bacterial small subunit ribosomal RNA", at positions 335 to 523 of the family's 1533-position model. Lineage: Bacteria; Pseudomonadati; Chlamydiota; Chlamydiia; Chlamydiales. The record is from RNAcentral.